RNAcentral lists this long non-coding RNA (4615 nucleotides) under Homo sapiens (human). Its description in RNAcentral is "non-protein coding lnc-SOX11-1:5". Lineage: Eukaryota; Metazoa; Chordata; Mammalia; Primates; Hominidae. The record is from RNAcentral.
CCCAGCGUGCCAGCCCCGGAGUUCAGCCUCCCGAGCUGCGGCGCCCGCAGCGGAGGAGGUUUUCAGUGGCUGAUUGAAACUCACUGCAAAAUCACCACGACUCUUUCACCUACUGAGAUGAUUGACCGAGGUUUGGCCUUCCAUUUUUACUGAGAUUUGGCGAGACCGAAUGGAAGCGUCCGCACAGUAACUGCAGCUGCUAGGCCAGAGGGGCCCCGGCGCCCUUCCCGCCUCCCCUCCCGCUUGCUUUUGCCUUACUCGAUCUUACCACCACCCCUCCCCCGGCCCCCCGACUGAGAACUCGGGCCUCUCACCCGCCCCCCAGCCUCCCGCUCUGGGCGAGCCUCCUCCCCAGCCCCCACCCCUGGGAUGCGAAGCCAGCAAGCUUUUGCUGCAGAUGGACAGGUUUCUUUUCUGUGGCUUUUUCCUUUCGAUAAACCAUCAGAUUUCAGUAGUACAUUUGGGAAAAGAAGGGGCUGAUGGCGUUAACCAGGUUCUCAAUAUAGAACUGGAUUUCUGGAGUUGUUUACCUUACCCCACACCCCCUCAACAUGUAGACUAAUGCAGCCAUUGGUGGUACAUUUAUUUUAGCCACGGAUAAUUGAACCAGCGGUUUACAAUUGACACGUGCUCCGUGCUGGUGAUUUUAUGUGGCAGCCCUCUGCUGCAGUUCCGAAACUUGUUGGCAACGUAAACCCAUUGAUAGGCUGAUCUAUGUAUUUUGAAAGCCUGAAAACUUGGCAUGUCUUUUCUGUUUUAAUCAUAGAUGAAUCUUGGACAUUUUCUGUGGUGAGGUGGAAACUUUAAGUAAAUUAGUAAAGUAAUAAUUUGGCUUCAGAAUGGGAAGAGAUAGUCAAGAUUUUUUUUUUUUAAAGCCAUGUGGCCUAACUUGAUACAAAAAUAAAAGUAAUUGUUUGGCAAUCUAAAUUUAAAACCUGUUAGAACUCAGGACAGGCGCUUCAAUGCGCUUUUUAACAAUAUUUAAGGCUGUUUUGAUGAGUGCGUUGUGAGAAUCAUCUUAAUGAAUUCUUUAUUGAGUGUCUAAAACAUAGUAUAAUACACAUGGUAUUCUUGCCACUGGAUAGUCUUCAAUAAAAGUUUAAUUGAUUUUUUUUUGUUGGUCUCUUAAGUAAGUCUUAUUUUUAACUAAGCAUUGACAGAAUAUCUUAAAAUGGUAACCUGGGGGUGGCGGGUGGGUGCUGUGUGCACGGCAGCCUAGCCAGUGGGGAUCCUGCUGUUUAUUAUAAGUAGUUCACAGACUCUGAUGGCAUUUUGGUAAGCUUUCCAUCUUUAAGAAAUUGAACCAGCAUUCUCUUAUUAAUUCUUUAAACUGUGGAAGUAAUUUCCAGUUCUUACACUCUGAUACGCAUCCCUUUUAUUUAAAAAAAAAAAAAAUGCUAAUAAAAGGCAGUGUACUUAAACUGUGCUUUGCAAAUAUUGUGUAUGUUAUGAAUGACUACAGACACUGGGCAAAUUAUUUGUAGAAUGAUUAUCCUUUAGCUAGAGAAAGAAAUCAUUACAACUCUUUUGGGCAGAGAUGUUUCUUUUUAAUGUUAAUCAAGGGGAAGUGAUUUAAAUAUGCAUAAAUGUAGCAGUCAGGGUGAUUUAGUUGCUUUUUUCAUGAAAGAAAAAGACUCAAAAGACAAGACUUAUUUUUCUCUUCUGGGACUUGAAAUCAUAAUCAUCUGAUAUUAGUACAGUACAAGAAAUUUACAUUUGUUUUUUACUUCAGAAUUUAAGUGACUUUUGCCCAAGGAAUUUGAGAAAUAAGGCAAAUAAGUUGCUCUAUUUUAAAGUAGUCAUUCAAUAUAAAUAUAUUAUAUCAAUCUUAACUUUUUUAUUCUCUGAUAUGAUUAAUAAUAUGUAUAUUCUUACUUUUCUUCUAAUGGGCAUAUGUAUCCUUGUGGACACUUUGAGAGAGGUUUUCUUGGACUCUCCCAUUUAUAGAAUCUUUAUACUCUUUUACUGUGUGGUUCCCUGCUUUUAACAGAUUUCUGAGGCAAAUAUAUUUGUGCUUUUUUCUUAUGUAGGAAGACCAGCGAAAAUAGUUUACUGAGUUGUCAAUUUUAUCAGUAGAUAAGAAACUUUCUUUAUUACAGUUUCAGGGAAGAUUUUUUCAGGAUAUUUCUCAGUUAUUCUAAGGGCCAAAUUUUGUAAAAUUUCCAUUAGGAAUGUCAGUUUCAAAUACCCUUUGUAUAGCCUAAGCCUGUGAGGAUAACAAGAAUGAGCCUUACCUAUCCUAACACAGGGAUUUACAAGUUCCCAAAGUAACCGUCUCCAUGUAACUCUUGACAUACUUUUCUGAGAUUUGGCUUAUUUUUAUUAUUGGUUAUUUCUCACUGUUCAUUCUAUUUGAUUUAUUCUACAACAUCCCCUUUUAUUUAAUGAUCUGGAAAAUUCUGCUCUUUGAUAACAACUCAGGAUUUUUUUGUUCAGUUUUGGUUUUUGCCCCUUCCUGUGGAGCCUACAUUUUCAACCACAAUAAAGAUGAAACAAAAUUUAUGAAACUGAGCUCUCUUCCAUUUUACUUACUGCUGGCUUUUUUUUUUUUUUUUUUCCUUGAUUCCUACCAUACCUUCGUUUUUUUCAUUGUACUUUUUUAACACUACCUAUAUCCAUUAGCUGCCUAAUUAGUUUUAUCUGUUCCAUGUGGAUGCAGUGAGUUUAUAAGAGAAUUUCACAAACAAGUAGUUUUUUAGUGAACUUAAAAUAAACAGAAUUUUAAAGGAGACCUAUUUUUAUACUCAAUAAAAGCACAAAAGUGCAGAAAGUAUAAAACGGCUUACAAAGGGAGACACAAGCUCAUAAUGUUCCAUGUAUAAAAGUAAUAACUUUAUUGGGUAGAGAUAUUCUUACAAGAUCUAGCACCUCUGCCAGUGCACAGAUAGGACUGUUUUAAAUGAUUUGGGAACUUUUGGUUGCCUGCAGUUGUGAACAGAGAACUUCUCUACAGAGAAACAAACCACUAAAAGCAAUAUGACCGAGUUGAGAUGUGGUUUCCAAUGAGCAAUUGGUGAAUUUAAGCAACCUGGAUGUGCAUAUGUGGAGGCUCCCGUCUCACUGUUUGAUCAAACUUCUUUUAUGUAGUCACGUAGACUUGAUUUUUUCUGCUGUGAAAAUGAAAAAAUAAAGCAAUAUGACAAAAAGUUUAAAAAUGCAUAAAAAAUAGGAUUUCCUCUAGGCUCCUCGAAGAGAUUUUUUUAAUAUGAUGCUUGUCUUACUUUCUUAGACACGUUACAUUUCCCCUUCCAAAAAAAAAAAAAAGGACAACUGGAAGUAAUUUAUCAUAUAAAGAAUUUUGAUCAAAUAGAUAUUGACAAAGGGCCCUCUGUCACAUUUUUCUUCAUCCAGCUUUUGUUCAAAAACAGUAUGCCUCCUCCCUUGAAUCACAUAGGGAGAAACGUUAUACUCCAUUCUCAUUAAUUUCCCAUUUUGUCUACUUUUACUCUUGUACAUAUGUUGUGGGUUUAAGAGUCUUUUGCAUUUGUUCUGUGACACCUUUUUUUGAAUUGACUGUUUUAAAACGGAGGCCUAUUUUUUCCGGUUUGGGACUCCUAGUGGUUAUGGCAUCCCAUAAUGCUUCGUGACGGCCACCAGGACAGAACCACCUGAUGUUUUAGAGCAGUUUUCAGCAUGACACUGUUAACAAGUGUGUAUUUUCCAAGGCCACAUGAAACUUACUUUCUUAGCCACUCCAGGUUUGGGAGCAGAAAAGCUGAAAAACCCUUUUGUGUAGAAGUCUGAGUGGUUUGUGGGGGGGACCUUUUUUAGAGUUUGCAUGCCAGCGCACGGCCUAUUGCUGUGAAACAGAGAGAAGGUAAAGCUACCUGAGGCAGUGCGCUGGAGGAUGAAGUGUUUGAUAGCACUAGGGGGGAAAGAAAAUGCAUGGCAAAGUUUCGUCUUCUCGUAGACUAUCUAGCAUGCAGAGUGUAGUGUGUUGAAACGGUGUAUGACAUUGCUGUAUCAAAGUUGUAAAAUUAAGCAUUAUUUAUUGAAAACUAUGUAUUUUUUUGUAAAAACCUGAUCACAUAGAGAAUAUCAGUGGCUUGUGCUUGUGCUUCGAUCUAACCAGCUUCUUGACCCACCCCCCCUUGGUAUGCAGUGUUAAUGCUCAGGGUUGAAAAUAGUACACUCCAAUGUCUCUUUUGCAAGAGUUUUUCACAGAGGAUUACAUUUGUUCAAAAGACUCUAAUAAAAUUGUGUGAUCAAUCUUCACUUGUGGUUUUUAUGUGACUUUUUUCUAGUUUUGCAUUUGAUAACUGCUGUUUAAUUCUGAAAAUGUUGUCUCAAACCAGAUGUCAGGGACAGGCUUGAAGAUUCCUGAUGUCUCAGCACCCAGCACGGCUGUCAGCCUCGGCAGGAGGAAGACCACGGAAAAGAGAGAUGACCAUGUGACCAGGAAAACCCCUCUACAAGGAAGCAUACAUAGUGGGUAUGCACCUUUCUGCAUUUGUUUCUUCCUUCCAUUUGGGAUGUAGGUGAGAUGGCUUGAGCUGCAGGUGUGAUCUUAUGAUCAGGAAAGAGGAAAAAGAAAUUUCAGAUUCCUUGACCAGCCAUGACAAACUUGAGCCACUGAAUCACUGCCAACUGCUGCGUUGUGUUUGAGUAAGCUACA